Molecule: ribosomal RNA, 495 nt
Filed under: uncultured bacterium
Lineage: Bacteria
Description: partial 16S ribosomal RNA
Rfam family: Bacterial small subunit ribosomal RNA
Source: RNAcentral
GAUGAACGCUGGCGGCGUGCCUAAUACAUGCAAGUAGAACGCUGAAGGAGGAGCUUGCUCUUCUGGAUGAGUUGCGAACGGGUGAGUAACGCGUAGAUAACCUGCCUGGUAGCGGGGGAUAACUAUUGGAAACGAUAGCUAAUACCGCAUGACAACAGUUCUUACAUGAUAACUGUUUAAAAGGGGCAACUGCUCCACUACCAGAUGGACCUGCGUUGUAUUAGCUAGUUGGUGAGGUAACGGCUCACCAAGGCGACGAUACAUAGCCGACCUGAGAGGGUGAUCGGCCACACUGGGACUGAGACACGGCCCAGACUCCUACGGGAGGCAGCAGUAGGGAAUCUUCGGCAAUGGACGGAAGUCUGACCGAGCAACGCAGCGUGAGUGAAGAAGGUUUUCGGAUCGUAAAGAUCUGUUGUAAGAGAAGAACGAGUGUGAGAGUGGAAAGUUCACACUGUGACGGUAUCUUACCAGAAAGGGACGGCUAACUACGUG